UGCAGUCGAGCGAGAUCUUCGGAUCUAGCGGCGGACGGGUUAGUAACGCGUGGGAACGUACCCAAAGGUAGGGAAUAGCCACUGGAAACGGUGAGUAAUACCCUAUGUGCCCUUCGGGGGAAAGAUUUAUCGCCUUUGGAUCGGCCCGCGUUAGAUUAGAUAGUUGGUGGGGUAACGGCCUACCAAGUCUACGAUCUAUAGCUGGUUUUAGAGGAUGAUCAGCAACACUGGGACUGAGACACGGCCCAGACUCCUACGGGAGGCAGCAGUGGGGAAUCUUGGACAAUGGGGGCAACCCUGAUCCAGCCAUGCCGCGUGAGUGAUGAAGGCCUUAGGGUCGUAAAGUUCUUUCGCCUGUGAAGAUAAUGACUGUAGCAGGUAAAGAAACCCCGGCUAACUCCGUGCCAGCAGCCGCGGUAAUACGGAGGGGGUUAGCGUUGUUCGGAAUUACUGGGCGUAAAGCGCGCGUAGGCGGACUGGAAAGUUGGGGGUGAAAUCCCAGGGCUCAACCCUGGAACUGCCUCCAAAACUAUCAGUCUAGAGUUCGAGAGAGGUGAGUGGAAUUCCGAGUGUAGAGGUGAAAUUCGUAGAUAUUCGGAGGAACACCAGUGGCGAAGGCGGCUC
RNAcentral lists this ribosomal RNA (624 nucleotides) under uncultured bacterium. RNAcentral's name for it is "bacterial SSU rRNA". It matches the Rfam family "Bacterial small subunit ribosomal RNA", at positions 56 to 727 of the family's 1533-position model. The record is from RNAcentral.